Molecule: long non-coding RNA, 728 nt
Organism: Helianthus annuus (common sunflower)
Lineage: Eukaryota; Viridiplantae; Streptophyta; Magnoliopsida; Asterales; Asteraceae
Exons: 2
Source: RefSeq, a predicted model, not a curated record
CGACGGUGGAGUUCCGCCGCUGAUGUUGAUGUCGGAGAUGAUGGAGACGGCGGCGGCAGUGGGAUUCCACGGCGGAAGCGCCGCCGAUCACGGCGGUGGUUCUUUAUUUGUUUCCGACGGAUCUUACGAUGAUGUUGUUUUGGAUCGGGUUCAGACCACACUAGCCAACCGGUCAGAUUUUAUUCGGGUCAACAGCGGUUUGCUCGGUUCGGUUUCGCAGUCAACUCAGUCGGCCGGUUAAUUCAGCCAAAACGGGAAGCUUUCGGUUGAAGUUCGGGUUUUGGUUCGGACAUGUUUUGGUAUGGUUCAACUCGGUUGACUCGGUCAAACCGAGUCAACUCAGUCAACGACAACAGGUCAACACCCGAGUUAACUCGGGUCAACAACGGGUCAAGAUUGGUCAAUGAAAGUCAGCGGUCAGACCAAGUCGACAAGUUAGCGGAUACGGGUCCAAAGCAGUUACGGUUUGGGUCAAUAGCUAGCCAACCUCAGUUUCGGUUCGAAACGACUCGGUCAAACUGAGUCGACUCGGUCAAACCGAGUCCACUCAGUCAAACCCGGUCAACAGCAGUAAACGCGGUCAACUCAGGACCCGGUAAAGUUUAAGCAUAGCAAGUGUUAUUGCGUUAUUUUUUUAGAGUUAUAGUUGCACGCGACCGAGCUUGAACCGAUGCGAUUAGAUAUUAGUCACGUUUGAUUAAAAUUAUACAUAUAGUGUUAAUAUAUUA